UUUCCGUAGGUGAACCUGCGGAAGGAUCAUUAUUGUAUAACCGAGGUGCGAGGGCUGUCGCUGACCCGAAAGGUCGUGCACGCCCUAGUGCCCUCACACACAUCCAUCUCACCCCUAUGUGCACCACCGCGUGGGUCCCCCUUUGGCUUGUUCGGAGGGGGGCUUACGUCUUCACACAAACUUUGUAUGCAGUGUAGAAUGUAUUUUUUGUUUUUGCGAUCACGCAAUCAAUACAACUUUCAACAACGGAUCUCUUGGCUCUC
Molecule: unclassified non-coding RNA, 263 nt
Filed under: plant metagenome
Description: partial contains small subunit ribosomal RNA, internal transcribed spacer 1, and 5.8S ribosomal RNA
Source: RNAcentral